Molecule: ribosomal RNA, 1098 nt
Filed under: Brachybacterium paraconglomeratum
Lineage: Bacteria; Bacillati; Actinomycetota; Actinomycetes; Micrococcales; Dermabacteraceae
Description: bacterial SSU rRNA
Rfam family: Bacterial small subunit ribosomal RNA
Source: RNAcentral
AGCACUCAUCGCAUGGUGGUUGUUGGAAAGAUUUAUCGGUGGGGAAUGGACUCGCGGCCUAUCAGUUUGUUGGUGAGGUGAUGGCUCACCAAGACGAUGACGGGUAGCCGGCCUGAGAGGGCGACCGGCCACACUGGGACUGAGACACGGCCCAGACUCCUACGGGAGACAGCAGUGGGGAAUUUUGCACAAUGGGCGGAAGCUUGAUGCAGCGACGCCGCGUGGGGGAUGACGGCCUUCGGGUUGUAAACCCCUUUCAGUAGUGAAGAAGCGAGAGUGACGGUACCUGCAGAAGAAGCGCCGGCUAACUACGUGCCAGCAGCCGCGGUAAUACGUAGGGCGCAAGCGUUGUCCGGAAUUAUUGGGGGUAAAGAGCUUGUAGGUGGCUUGUCGCGUCUGCCGUGAAAACCCGAGGCUCAACCUCGGGCGUGCGUUGGGUACGGGCAGGCUAGAGUGUGGUAGGGGAGGCUGAGACUCCUGGUGUAGGGGUGAAAUGCGCAGAUAUCAGGAGGAACACCGAUGGCAAAGGCAGCUCUCUGGGCCAUUACUGACACUGAGAAGCGAAAGCAUGGGUAGCGAACAGGAUUAGAUACCCUGUUAGUCCAUGCCGUAAACGUUGGGCACUAGGUGUGGGGGUCAUUCCACGUUUUCCGCGCCGUAGCUAACGCAUUAAGUGCCCCGCCUGGGGAGUACGGCCGCAAGGCUAAAACUCAAAGGAAUUGACGGGGGCCCGCACAAGCGGCGGAGCAUGCUGAUUAAUUCGAUGCAACGCGAAGAUCCUUACCAAGGCUUGACAUGCACUGGACGGCUGCAGAGAUGUGGCUUUCUUUGGACUGGUGCACAGGUGGUGCAUGGUUGUCGUCAGCUCGUGUUGUGAGAUGUUGGGUUAAGUCCCGCAACGAGCGCAACCCUCAUUCUUUGUUGCCAGCACGUGAUGGUGGGGACUCAAAGGAGACUGCCGGGGUCAACUCGGAGGAAGGUGGGGACGACGUCAAAUCAUCAUGCCCCUUAUGUGUUGGGCUUCAAACGUGCUACAAUGGUCGGUACAAAGGGUUGCGAAACUGUGAGGUGAAGCGAAUCCCAAAAAGCCGGCCUCAG